GAUGAACGCUAGCUACAGGCUUAACACAUGCAAGUCGAGGGGUAACGAGAGGGAAGCUUGCUUUCCUUGUCGACGACCGGCGCACGGGUGAGUAACGCGUAUCCAACCUGCCCCCAACUAGGGAAUAACCUUGCGAAAGUAAGACUAAUACCCUAUAAUUUCCUCAGAUGUCAUCUGACGAGGAAUAAAGAUUUAUCGGUUGUGGAUGGGGAUGCGUCUGAUUAGCUUGUUGGCGGGGUAACGGCCCACCAAGGCAACGAUCAGUAGGGGUUCUGAGAGGAAGGUCCCCCACAUUGGAACUGAGACACGGUCCAAACUCCUACGGGAGGCAGCAGUGAGGAAUAUUGGUCAAUGGGCGGAAGUCUGAACCAGCCAAGUAGCGUGCAGGAUGACGGCCCUAUGGGUUGUAAACUGCUUUUAUACAGGAGUAAAGUUAGCCACGUGUGGUUAUUUGUAGGUACUGUAUGAAUAAGGACCGGCUAAUUCCGUGCCAGCCGCCGCGGUAA
RNAcentral lists this ribosomal RNA (506 nucleotides) under uncultured bacterium. Its description in RNAcentral is "partial 16S ribosomal RNA". It matches the Rfam family "Bacterial small subunit ribosomal RNA", at positions 28 to 523 of the family's 1533-position model. The record is from RNAcentral.